GCGCCCGUAGCUCAGCAGGAUAGAGCACCGGUUUCCUAAACCGGGGGUCGUGGGUUCGAAUCCCGCCGGGCGCACCA
This 77-nucleotide transfer RNA is filed under the name Engelhardtia mirabilis. Its description in RNAcentral is "Planctomycetes bacterium Pla133 tRNA-Arg". It matches the Rfam family "tRNA". From Rfam's summary of the family: Transfer RNA (tRNA) molecules are approximately 80 nucleotides in length. Their secondary structure includes four short double-helical elements and three loops (D, anti-codon, and T loops). Lineage: Bacteria; Pseudomonadati; Planctomycetota; Planctomycetia. The record is from RNAcentral.